RNAcentral lists this ribosomal RNA (631 nucleotides) under Salmonella enterica. RNAcentral's name for it is "partial 23S ribosomal RNA". It matches the Rfam family "Bacterial large subunit ribosomal RNA", at positions 1180 to 1781 of the family's 2925-position model. RNAcentral also lists the same sequence under 1 other name. The record is from RNAcentral. Lineage: Bacteria; Pseudomonadati; Pseudomonadota; Gammaproteobacteria; Enterobacterales; Enterobacteriaceae.
UUACGAUUGACGGAGCGAAGCGACGUCAAAGCGUAUAGAAAGUCGAGUCGGUUUAAGGAUACGUUCGUUGGGUAGGGGAGCGUUCUGUAAGCCUGUGAAGGUGUGUCGUGAGGCAUGCUGGAGGUAUCAGAAGUGCGAAUGCUGACAUAAGUAACGAUAAUGCGGGUGAAAAACCCGCUCGCCGGAAGACCAAGGGUUCCUGUCCAACGUUAAUCGGGGCAGGGUGAGUCGACCCCUAAGGCGAGGCCGAAAGGCGUAGUCGAUGGGAAACAGGUUAAUAUUCCUGUACUCGGUGUUACUGCGAAGGGGGGACGGAGAAGGCUAUGUUGGCCGGGCGACGGUUGUCCCGGUUUAAGCGUGUAGGUGUGUGGACCAGGCAAAUCCGGUUCACUUUAACACUGAGGCGUGAUGACGAGGCACUACGGUGCUGAAGCAACAAAUGCCCUGCUUCCAGGAAAAGCCUCUAAGCAUCAGGUAACAUCAAAUCGUACCCCAAACCGACACAGGUGGUCAGGUAGAGAAUACCAAGGCGCUUGAGAGAACUCGGGUGAAGGAACUAGGCAAAAUGGUGCCGUAACUUCGGGAGAAGGCACGCUGAUGGUAGGUGAAGUGAUUUACUCAUGGAGCUGAA